This is a long non-coding RNA of Cynocephalus volans (Philippine flying lemur), 994 nucleotides long. RefSeq lists it as uncharacterized. Lineage: Eukaryota; Metazoa; Chordata; Mammalia; Dermoptera; Cynocephalidae. The record is from RefSeq and is a predicted model, not a curated record. The transcript has 3 exons.
GCGCCCGGCCUCUCCGCGCCCUCGCCCCGCGCCCCUGGCUCACUCGCUCCCGCGGCGCCCGCUGCGGCUUCUCCUCCUCCUCUUUCGCCUCCUCCACUCCCUCCGGUUUCUUCGCCUCCUCCUCCUCUUCUUCCUCCUCCUCUUUCCCCACCUCCUCCCCCUCAGCCACCGCCUCCUCCACCACCACCACCACUCCCUCCGGGGCACCCUGGUCCCUGCAGAGUCCCCGGCAGGCGCCGCCUCCGCUUCGGCCCCCUCGAUCCCGAGCCUGCUGCGCCCGAGCUCUUAGGACAGACGGACAGGCAGACACACAGAUUCCGCGCGCCUAACGCGCCGCCGCUGCUGUCCCCCGCGGCCCCGCGUCGGGGGAACUGGCGUCGCCCGGGGAGCACCGUGAGGGGGCUGCAUGGGGAGGCAUCUGAACAUGCCAAGCCUUCCAGAUCAAGAGUAGCUCAUGGUGCCAGCCAUGUGGAAGUGGAUCUCCCCCAGAUGGGCUUGGACACAUCUGGCCCAUCUGCAGCAUUUUCCCAAACCAGCUAAGAUUCAAAGGGAAGAAUUUGAGGUAGGAGAAAUCCUUUGGUCAAACAGUUCCAUAUCCAAAGAGAUAACCAAGAAUGAAGACAGGAAAUUGCUCCAGAGUCUCUGACCUUGAGAGGAUGUACCCAGAUCCCCGCCACCAGCAAGAGACCACCAGGUACUGGUGUUCUCAGCCUUCAGAUGCCAGGGUUCCCUCACCUGGCUUAUUCUGAACUUCACCUGUUCACUUCUCUGCAAGAAACAUGCCUCUCCACCCCAUGAAAAAGCUUUUUUCCCCUCAUUAUUAUAAAAUUAUAUGUAUACUUUUCUAUUAUACCAGAAUGUGUAAAGAAGUCAGUAAUAAUCAUCCAAAUUCCCCCUACCCAGAGGUCACUGCUGUCAAAUAUCUGGGGAUGUUAACUUUUGACAUGUUGCAAAAGAAAAGAAAUUAGAUUAUGUGUACGCAUUUUUGUUAUUG